AAAACCAAUGCCCUUCGGGGCUCACUGGUGAUUCAUAAUAACUUCUCGAAUCGCACGGCCUUGCGCCGGCGAUGGUUCAUUCAAAUUUCUGCCCUAUCAACUUUCGAUGGCUGGGUCUUGGCCAGCCAUGGUAGCAACGGGUAACGGAGGGUUAGGGCUCGACCCCGGAGAAGGAGCCUGAGAAACGGCUACUACAUCCAAGGAAGGCAGCAGGCGCGCAAAUUACCCAAUCCCGAUACGGGGAGGUAGUGACAAUAAAUACUGAUACAGGGCUCUUUUGGGUCUUGUAAUUGGAAUGAGUACAAUUUAAAUCCCUUAACGAGGAACAAUUGGAGGGCAAGUCUGGUGCCAGCAGCCGCGGUAAUUCCAGCUCCAAUAGCGUAUAUUAAGUUGUUGAGGUUAAAAAGCUCGUAGUUGAACCUUGGGCCCAGCCGGCCGGUCCGCCUCACCGCGUGCACUGGCUCGGCCGGGCCUUUCCUUCUGGAGAACCGCAUGCCCUUCACUGGGCGUGCUGGGGAACCAGGACUUUUAC
Molecule: ribosomal RNA, 532 nt
Filed under: uncultured Cercophora
Lineage: Eukaryota; Fungi; Ascomycota; Sordariomycetes; Sordariales; Lasiosphaeriaceae
Description: SSU rRNA
Rfam family: Eukaryotic small subunit ribosomal RNA
Source: RNAcentral